This 454-nucleotide ribosomal RNA is filed under the name uncultured Mollicutes bacterium. Its description in RNAcentral is "bacterial SSU rRNA". It matches the Rfam family "Bacterial small subunit ribosomal RNA", at positions 926 to 1382 of the family's 1533-position model. The record is from RNAcentral. Lineage: Bacteria; Bacillati; Mycoplasmatota; Mollicutes.
CAAGCGGUGGAGUAUGUUGUUUAAUUCGAAGAUACACGAAGAACCUUACCAGGUCUUGACAUACCAUUGACAGGUGUAGAGAUACACUCUCCUUCGGGCAAUGGAUACAGGUGGUGCAUGGUUGUCGUCAGCUCGUGCCGUGAGGUGUUGGGUUAAGUCCCGCAACGAGCGCAACCCUCAUUGUUAGUUACUACCAUUCAGUUGAGGACUCUAAUGAGACUGCCAACGACAAGUUGGAGGAAGGUGGGGAUGACGUCAAAUCAUCAUGCCCUUUAUGACCUGGGCUACAAACGUACUACAAUGGCCAAUACAAAGAGAUGCGAAGCGGUGACGUGAAGCGAACCUCAGAAAGUUGGUCUCAGUUCAGAUUGAAGUCUGCAACUCGACUUCAUGAAGGCGGAAUCGCUAGUAAUCGCGGGUCAGCAGACCGCGGUCGAAUACGUUCCCGGGCCUU